Molecule: non-coding RNA, 330 nt
Organism: Procambarus clarkii (red swamp crayfish)
Lineage: Eukaryota; Metazoa; Arthropoda; Malacostraca; Decapoda; Cambaridae
Source: RefSeq, a predicted model, not a curated record
GGCAAGGCGGGACGUGUGGUGGCGCUAGGCUCUUCUCACAGGCCUCCACCACCCGGUCGUCUACUUUUUUUUUUGGACUUAGUGAAGUGGCCGGGCUGAGUGCCGGCACAAGUGGACUGGCAUGGCAGAAUGUGGCCUGCAGCCGGAAUAGGUUGAAGGCCUUAUCGCGUCUGCUGGUGACUAGGGACAAGGGGAGGAUAACUGUAAGGCAAGUGAUGGAACUAGCGCCUUGGUGUGAGGGGGGGUGAGCGCCCCCUUCCUGCCCCUCCUCUCACGCCUGGGGCGGGGGCUGCUAGCCAUCACCAGAGCGGUUAUUGUGGUGUUUCUUGU